GUAGCAUAAUCUGGUCUUGCCAAAGAUCUAAGCCCUUUCAAUAGAAGUUCAAAUCUUCUCAUUAGCU
RNAcentral lists this transfer RNA (67 nucleotides) under Leucostethus fugax (Pastaza rocket frog). RNAcentral describes it as "Colostethus fugax (Pastaza rocket frog) tRNA-Leu". Lineage: Eukaryota; Metazoa; Chordata; Amphibia; Anura; Dendrobatidae. The record is from RNAcentral.